GUGCCAGCCGCCGCGGUAAGACAGAGGGUGCAAACGUUGUUCGGAAUUACUGGGCAUAAAGCGCACGUAGGUGGUCCGCUAAGUCGCGUGUGAAAUCCCCCGGCUCAACCGGGGAAAUGCGCGUGAUACUGGCGGGCUUGAGAUCGGGAGGGGUGAAUGGAACUCCAGGUGGAGCGGUGAAAUGCGUAGAUAUCUGGAGGAACACCGGUGGCGAAAGCGGUUCACUGGCCCGACACUGACACUGAGGUGCGAAAGCUAGGGUAGCAAACGGGAUUAGAUACCCCCGUAGUCC
This 292-nucleotide ribosomal RNA is filed under the name uncultured bacterium. RNAcentral describes it as "partial 16S ribosomal RNA". It matches the Rfam family "Bacterial small subunit ribosomal RNA", at positions 505 to 796 of the family's 1533-position model. The record is from RNAcentral.